RNAcentral lists this unclassified non-coding RNA (456 nucleotides) under plant metagenome. Its description in RNAcentral is "partial contains 5.8S ribosomal RNA, internal transcribed spacer 2, and large subunit ribosomal RNA". The stretch from base 1 to 105 matches the Rfam family "5.8S ribosomal RNA", at positions 50 to 154 of the family's 154-position model. The record is from RNAcentral.
UAACCGCGAUAUUUGAUGUGAAUUGCAGAACUACGUGAAUCAUCGAAUUUUUGAACGCAUUGCGGCUUCGGGGCUUGCCCUGAAGCCACACUUGGUAGAGUGGCGGUAAUUAUAUUUCUCUCCUGUAGCUACGGCUACUUGAGAGGUGUUGAGGGUGUAGCUAGCUCAAGGCAACUCCCUUUAAAUACAUAUUUGAGCAAAAGGUCUAGGCUUUCUUAUCAUCUUUUAUCCUGGAGUUCUUUUGGACAUGUCCAAGUUCAUUGAAGGGAUAACUGAUGAUCGAAAGGUGAGCUAGUAUGGGUGGCAGCCCUAAUUAACUUACCAAGUAGGAUAGAAGGUUCUAGCCUUUUAUAAAGAGCGUUUGUACGCUAUUUGGCAAAACAAAAACGAGGCUUUUAGCCUCAUUUACCGUAAUUUCGCCCUCUACUCAAGUGGGACCACCCGCUUAAUUUAAGC